CACGUAGGGUGCGAGCGUUGUCCGGAAUUAUUGGGCGUAAAGAGCUCGUAGGCGGUGUGUCGCGUCGGCCGUGAAAACCUGCAGCUUAACUGUGGGCUUGCGGUCGAUACGGGCAUCACUGGAGUUCGGCAGGGGAGACUGGAAUUCCUGGUGUAGCGGUGAAAUGCGUAGAUAUCAGGAGGAACACCGGUGGCGAAGGCGCACAUCUGGCCCGAUACUGACGCUGAGGCGCGAAAGCUAGGGGAGCAAACGGG
Molecule: ribosomal RNA, 254 nt
Filed under: uncultured bacterium
Lineage: Bacteria
Description: partial 16S ribosomal RNA
Rfam family: Bacterial small subunit ribosomal RNA
Source: RNAcentral